This 258-nucleotide ribosomal RNA is filed under the name uncultured bacterium. Its description in RNAcentral is "partial 16S ribosomal RNA". It matches the Rfam family "Bacterial small subunit ribosomal RNA", at positions 75 to 334 of the family's 1533-position model. The record is from RNAcentral.
CUUGCUUUCUUUGCUGGCGACCGGCGCACGGGUGAGUAACACGUAUCCAACCUGCCCUUUACUCGGGGAUAGCCUUUCGAAAGAAAGAUUAAUACCCGAUAGCAUAAUGAUUCCGCAUGGUUUCAUUAUUAAAGGAUUCCGGUAAAGGAUGGGGAUGCGUUCCAUUAGGUUGUUGGUGAGGUAACGGCCCACCAAGCCUUCGAUGGAUAGGGGUUCUGAGAGGAAGGUCCCCCACAUUGGAACUGAAACACGGUCCAA